RNAcentral lists this transfer RNA (67 nucleotides) under Tegillarca granosa. Its description in RNAcentral is "tRNA-Met". The record is from RNAcentral. Lineage: Eukaryota; Metazoa; Mollusca; Bivalvia; Arcoida; Arcidae.
CGCGGGGUAGGCUAAAAAAGUCAAUGGGCUCAUAACCCGGAAAUAUGUUCGACAGGCAUUCCCGUGU